This 686-nucleotide ribosomal RNA is filed under the name uncultured bacterium. Its description in RNAcentral is "bacterial SSU rRNA". It matches the Rfam family "Bacterial small subunit ribosomal RNA", at positions 32 to 715 of the family's 1533-position model. The record is from RNAcentral.
AACGCUAGCUACAGGCUUAACACAUGCAAGUCGAGGGGUAGCAGGGUAGCAAUACCGCUGACGACCGGCGCACGGGUGAGUAACGCGUAUCCAACCUGCCCACCACUUGGGGAUAACCUUGCGAAAGUAAGACUAAUACCCAAUGAUAUCUCUAGAAGACAUCUGAAAGAGAUUAAAGAUUUAUCGGUGAUGGAUGGGGAUGCGUCUGAUUAGCUUGUUGGCGGGGUAAUGGCCCACCAAGGCAACGAUCAGUAGGGGUUCUGAGAGGAAGGUCCCCCACAUUGGAACUGAGACACGGUCCAAACUCCUACGGGAGGCAGCAGUGAGGAAUAUUGGUCAAUGGACGAGAGUCUGAACCAGCCAAGUAGCGUGCAGGAAGACGGCCCUAUGGGUUGUAAACUGCUUUUAUAAGGGAAUAAAGUGAGAGUCGUGACUCUUUUUGCAUGUACCUUAUGAAUAAGGACCGGCUAAUUCCGUGCCAGCAGCCGCGGUAAUACGGAAGGUCCGGGCGUUAUCCGGAUUUAUUGGGUUUAAAGGGAGCGUAGGCCGGAGAUUAAGCGUGUUGUGAAAUGUAGAUGCUCAACAUCUGAACUGCAGCGCGAACUGGUUUCCUUGAGUACGCACAAAGUGGGCGGAAUUCGUGGUGUAGCGGUGAAAUGCUUAGAUAUCACGAAGAACUCCGAUUG